UACGUAGGGGGCUAGCGUUGUCCGGAAUCAUUGGGCGUAAAGAGCGUGUAGGCGGCCCGGUAAGUCCGCUGUGAAAGUCGGGGGCCCAACCCUCGAAUGCCGGUGGAUACUGUCGGGCUAGAGUGCGGAAGAGGCGAGUGGAAUUCCUGGUGUAGCGGUGAAAUGCGUAGAUAUCAGGAGGAACACCGGUGGCGAAGGCGGCCGCCUGGACAGUAACUGACGCUGAGACGCGAAAGCGUGGGGAGCAAACAGG
This 253-nucleotide ribosomal RNA is filed under the name uncultured bacterium. RNAcentral describes it as "partial 16S ribosomal RNA". It matches the Rfam family "Bacterial small subunit ribosomal RNA", at positions 524 to 776 of the family's 1533-position model. The record is from RNAcentral.